RNAcentral lists this ribosomal RNA (253 nucleotides) under uncultured bacterium. Its description in RNAcentral is "partial 16S ribosomal RNA". It matches the Rfam family "Bacterial small subunit ribosomal RNA", at positions 524 to 776 of the family's 1533-position model. The record is from RNAcentral.
UACGUAGGGGGCAAGCGUUGUCCGGAAUCAUUGGGCGUAAAGCGCGCGUAGGCGGCCCGAUCAGUCCGCUGUAAAAGUCCAGGGCUCAACCCUGGAAAGCCGGUGGAUACUGUCGGGCUAGAGUCCGGAAGAGGCGAGUGGAAUUCCUGGUGUAGCGGUGGAAUGCGCAGAUAUCAGGAGGAACACCGAUGGCGAAGGCAGCUCGCUGGGACGGUACUGACGCUGAGGUGCGAAAGCGUGGGGAGCGAACAGG